GGGUUGUGAGGUUAAGCGACUAAGCGUACACGGUGGAUGCCCUGGCAGUCAGAGGCGAUGAAGGACGUGCUAAUCUGCGAUAAGCGUCGGUAAGGUGAUAUGAACCGUUAUAACCGGCGAUUUCCGAAUGGGGAAACCCAGUGUGUUUCGACACACUAUCAUUAACUGAAUCCAUAGGUUAAUGAGGCAAAACGGGGGAACCAAAACAAUAAAGUACCCCAACGAAAAAAAAAAAA
This 236-nucleotide ribosomal RNA is filed under the name Escherichia coli. RNAcentral describes it as "partial 23S ribosomal RNA". It matches the Rfam family "Bacterial large subunit ribosomal RNA", at positions 1 to 228 of the family's 2925-position model. The record is from RNAcentral. Lineage: Bacteria; Pseudomonadati; Pseudomonadota; Gammaproteobacteria; Enterobacterales; Enterobacteriaceae.